Long non-coding RNA from Tympanuchus pallidicinctus (lesser prairie-chicken), 10728 nucleotides. RefSeq lists it as uncharacterized. The transcript has 5 exons. NCBI's taxonomy places the organism in Eukaryota, Metazoa, Chordata, Aves, Galliformes, Phasianidae. The record is from RefSeq and is a predicted model, not a curated record.
GUGCAUAGCCAGCUGCAAAUCUACAUACAAACUGAUCUUUUUCAGUAUCCGUCUAGUAUAUCUUGGUUUGAAUUCAUCCUUCCUUCAGUUAAUAAAUAUUUCAGGGUCCUCCCUCUGCCCACUGAGUACCUGGGAGCCUAUGGUGAAAGCAUCCCUAGUUUGACAUCUCAGAUACCCUGAGUUUAGACAACUCAUUUAGGUGCUAUGAGUAAAUGGGAUGAAGCCAGCCUUUGUUUCAGCUGUUUGUUUUCUUUUUCUUUCAUUUCCCCCAUCAGCACAGAUCCGAUUUUUCUCAGGAUGAGUUCUGCUGUGUCUGAAUUCCUUUUUGUGUUCUUCCCAGCAUUCCAGUCAGUGCUGCACUGCAGCAGCACACCCCUCUUUGGAAUGUUAUUCCCUCAAGACUCCCAUGGCACAGAGAGAUGGCGACAAAGCAGCAUCAAGCAAUUGCCUCCUGGCUAGCAUUCUCGGCAAACCCUCAUGACUAUUGACUCAAAUGAGCAGCCCAGCAAGAAUGAAAUACAUCAGAGUUCAAACACAAAAGAAUUUACCUCCAGUUUUUGGGUCAAGCCAACCUGUGCAAGUGAGGCAAGUGAAUUGUCAGGGAAAAAGACCGUUCGAUUCACAGAUUAUCACGUGGAUCCCAAGACCAGCGUGACUGCGGUGAUCAAGAGGAGCAGUCUGCAGCUUCCAGUUUUGCCCAUCUUGACCAGCCUACAGUAUCAAUAACAAGAACAAAGGAACUCUUUGGUUUGUGUUUGUCAGCACAGCUGUUGGGGUGCCAUGUGCUAGAAUGCGUUAAGGAUUUCACAGACUCUUGAAAAGUGGGUGAACUUGAAUGUGAUGAAUGGCUAAAAAAUGUGCCUGGGAGUUUUUCAGGUCAAGCAAGAGGUUCUGUACCUGUGUCACUUUGCUGCCUAUCAUCCCAUGUGAAGUAUUCCUUGAAUAUAAACUAAGAGAUGUAGUGUUACUUUUAAAUGUGAUUGUAAAUAUGUAACGUAAAACUCCUCUAUUUAUUCAUUAAUCCUAUUGUGGCCCAUAUUAAAUCUCUGCUUAUCAGUUUAAAUACUUACCAUAUUUUAGCAGUAUAUAAGCAGACCUAGGUCACACUGGCAUCAAAUUGCAUAAUCCAACUUCUUUCCUAACACAGCAGAAACAAUGCACUGGAUUUUUACUAUAUUACUCAACUGGAAAUAUAUUGUUUGUUUCAGAAUGGCAGUUAAUAAGAGCCUUCAUUUAACAUCAUCCCAACACUUACUGUGCAUAGGAAAGAUGGGUACAUUCACCACAUAGGUUAGAUAACAUGAGGAGAAUGUCUUUGUAUUCUUGUUUUCUGUAUUAUGCUGAAAUGCAUUUAACUGUAGGAAAUUCUCUGUUAGAUGACUGGGAAUUUUUUAGUCCUUACUGCAUCCUAGUCUGAUCAGUAACAAUUUGUCUAAUUCAUAUUUUACGGCUGGGAGAAUUGAGGGAUAGCUGAGCAGAGGCACACCACCUCUCCACAACCUCAUGCCCAUUCAGUUGCUGGCACUGAAGGCAGAUCUUCCCAGUUGCCUGCAGACACACCAACAGCAGGUCAGUCCCCACUUCAGACCCUGUCCUUACAGCAAAGAAAGGCUUGCUUUUUCCUGACUGAUACUAAGUCAAGGCGAUUCUGCAUGGCAGCAGCACUGAUAUUUACUCUCAGAUCUCAUGAUUAAGUAGUAAGGUUUGACUUCAAUUAAUUCUAAUGGUUUCUGAUAGCAAAAAGUCACUACAGAACUUAAAAAGCACUUGAACUGCAGCAAGAUCUUUACAGUUAUCUAUAUGAUAUCUUUCAGUCUCUUUUGGCUCCUUGAUCUGCACCAACUUAUGUGCCAACUUUGGUCUGUGAGAAACUGAACCUUAACGUCUGUUAUUUUAAAAAAUGUAUGAAAAUACUGCAAUCUACAAUGGAUUUCACAAGGUCUGACAUUCCUUUUGGGAUAAGUACUUCAUAAAAAUUGCUCAUGUGAAUCAUGUACUGUUCAUGUAUUGUUCAUGAAUCAAACCAAGAGCCAUUUAAAAAUGACUAGCAUUAGGGAAACGUAAUAGCUUUUUAACAGAUUAUUUAAAUGACUGUAUCUCUGAUUUCCAGUCAUUUUAUCCAAACAGCUAUGGCAGAACUAUCCUUGAAAAGAGAGUAACAUUCUGAUUAAACUCUUUUGUUGCUGGAUUUAAGAAAUAUUUUAGAAGGGAGAAUUUCUCAAUUAUAUAUUCAUCUUUCAGAGCCUGGGCAUGGAGGGUGUACAAUUUGAUCAAACCCAGCUGAAAGCACGAAUGGCUUGGAGGAUUCAUUCCAUUUUUACAAUCACAGCUGAGACAGCACUUGAAAUGUGCUCAGCACUGCGCAGUCCUCUUGUGCAGGCUGACUGGUGUAGGAGUCAUUUCCUCACUAGUUUCUUGUAGUGGCAGCUUGGCUGAGAUGCCUGACACCCAGCAAUGCCUGGCAAUUCAGUAGUGCAAUAAGACAGUGUUCAAGUGCAGUGCUUAUAUUUUCCUGUAGCUGGAUUAUUAUCCCAUCUAUCCACUUGGUUUCUGGGUCAUAUGUAUCCUGAUGUAAGCAGCAGAUAUGUUCAAAAGUUCACCUUAUCUCCUCCACCUGCUCCUGCUGGUGGCUCGGCCCACACACCCUCACUCCUUUUCGUGGAAGGUUUCUUAUCUGUGGCUUUGUGUGUGUGUGUAUGUUUGUAAGCAGUGGUGGAACCUGCUACAAUCCUGAGUUGGAAGGGACCCACAAGGAUCAUGGAGUCCAAUCCCUGGAUCCAUGCAGCACCACCCAAACCCAAACCCUAUGUCUGAAAGCAGUGUCCAGAUGCUCCUGGAACUCCAGCUUGGGGCUGUGCCCACUGCCCUGUGCAUCCCGUUCCAUGCCCACCCUGGUGGGCAGCCCCUUUCCCUGACCCCCAGCUUCCCUCCCCUGACGCAGCUUCAUGCCGUCCCCUCAGCCUGUCGCUGUCACACACAGCAGAGCUCAGCGCUGCCCUCCGCUCCCUGUGAGGAGCUGCAGCCACCAUGAGGGCUCCCCUCAGCUCCUCUGCCCUGUGCUGAGCACACCCAGGGAGCUCAGACACUCCACAUACACCUUGCCCUCCAGACCCUUCCCCAUCUUUGUAGCCCUUCUUUGGAUGCCUUUUAAUAGUAUUAUGUUCUUUUUAUAUGACGGUCUCCAAAACUGCUCAUGCAGAGCUGCAAGCACGUUCCUUUGGGUCGCAGCACCUCAUGCUACACCAGCCUUAACUACUCCUUUAUUAAGCAGUUCUCUGAGCAUAACUAAAGCAUGUGGGUUGUUAACAUACAUAAUAAGUUAUAUUUAAGAAGGUUUCAAGCUAGCACAUUGUAUUUUGCAGCAAAGUCAUAAAAAUACGCUAACAUGAAAACAUCUAAUGAGGGAAAUGUUGCGUGCAGAUGUCUGUUUGCCUAUUAUUCCAUAAAAUGACAAUAUAUUUUUAUUUAUAUGAGUAAUGUUAGACACAAACAUGUUACCAAAAAAACAUUCAUUUAGGAAACAUAUAAACACAAUAUGAGUCUAAUAUAAGAAACCGUUGUAAAACACAUUUUUUUUUAGUGCUUAUACAAUGACGAGAAAUUAAAAGAAAUUGUUUCAAAUACAUUUUUUUUCUCUCUCAUGAUGAAAAAGAAAUAUAUGCUCUCAUCUGGCAUAUUAUUUCAGAUGUAGUAGAAAAGUGAAAUUUGUGCCUCACGUCAUGUAUCCUUUACAUGAUGCAAAGGAACAUAAUUUUAUUUUUGUUUUAUUUGAAGACUGUCCUGGCACAUUGGCCACCAAUUUCAUUUUUAUUGCAGUACAUGGAUAACAAAGUCACAUAACCUUACGUUAAUGCAAAAGGCAUGGGAAGGGAAAGGGAAAGUAUAAUUUUUGUUGUUGCUGUUGUCAUUUGAAAUUUCCAGAGUGUCUAUGCACAUUGGGUACCAUUUCAUUUUUAUUGCUCUGCACUGAUAGCAAUGUCGCAUAUCAUUAAGUUAACACCAAGUUAGAAAAAAAAGAAAAAAUGAGGUUUUUUUUUCUUCUGUUACCAUUGUUUGAAAUUGUUUGUACUGUUUAAAUAUAAUUUCUGUGUGUUGGUGAGAGUAUUGAAAAAUCUAAUACUCACUGUAAAAAGCUAUAUUAAUUUAUGCUUUUUGUAUGUCUCCAUAUGACAGUAGGUAGAAAAUGCAAUGCACCUAUCUUAUUGGUGAGAUAAAGGUUUGCUCAGUGUCCAGAUGCAGCUAAUAUGGAAACAACUACCUUUGUGGAGAAGUGGAAUAACCCCACUUUUUAAUAUCUCCAAAUCGGUACAUUUUAUUAAAGAACUUAUCUUAUACAUCCUAAAAUACCUCCCAUAUGCACCUCAUUGUCUUUUAACUCCUGAGCAGAGACUGAUCCUCACUUUGGGAUGCAGAGGGUUAAUCUGUAGUUGUGGUGCAUCCACUCCUUAUCACCGACAUGUAAAUAAUGACCAUUGGGAUGGACGUAGCACUCAUCUAAAUGGGGAGCACCAGGCAGCUGCGUGGCUGCUCUGUUUUAUGUGACAGGUCAUUGUACAGGUCAGCACUAAUAGCAGUCAGGAUUACAGCCCUUGGCCUCCUCUGGGAAAUUUGUGCCUCAGUAUGGUGAAUCUACUGCCAACAAUUGUCUCAGUUUUGGAGGCCAAAAGAGGCCAACUUGUUUUAUUUUACUUAGUUUGUUGUUAACCAUUCUCAUACCAUGCACAGCUCUGUUUCUUUAUCCUUGACCUGUGGAGCAGCUCUGUUUUGGUACUGUAAUUCAGUGUCCAUUUUUAAGGAGCCACCUUAGAAAGACAGAUAAGGGGCUGCCAGAAGGUGAUGGCAUGCAGGACCAAAAUGGUCUACAUGGUUUCAAAUAGACACCAUGCGUUUCACCUGAGGCUCUGCUUUCUUGGUAGAAUGCUCAAAACAAGUUUCUGUAAUUCAUACUUGAAUUAAUGGCUCUGGGAGCACCUCAAACCCUUUGACAUUGCUCUUGUGGAGCUCAUGGUUGAGGUGACUUCAUGGAGGGCAGUCUCAGCUAGCAUAUUCAGCUGAUCCAUUACAUCCCAUUCUUUUCUGUCCUGUGAUAUUUUAAAUGUAAACUCUUUUGAGGCAUAUGGAUUAGACCCCACAAAAGCAGUCAUAAUUCCAAAACUGUUCAUGGCCUAUGGAAUCCUUGUUACUAGAGGAGGGAUACAACAGCUUCCAGGCAAUUGUUCUCUCAGUGAGGAGCAUUACAAGGAAGGACCUAGAGUGGAAUCUGUGCACUCUGUAAAACAAGAUGAAUCUGCGAGGACAAGAGAACCUUGGCCAACAUAUUUAAUGAGAGCUGUAUGGUGUUAAACAACCACAGAUGUAUGUAAUAGAUUUGUUGUGUCACAAUAGGCUACAUCCCAAUAAGCCACCUGAACACACAAAUGUGUGACAGCUAGUAUGGUUUACAUUUUUAAUGCAUUUCCUUGCAUGAGGCUUGGAAUAGCUUUCUCUUCACCCACUGCCAUAGGCUACUGCUGUGUGCUUGCAGCAGCACUUCAUCUUCAAGAGAUCACAUAUCAUGAAAGAAAAUAAUGAAAGAGAGACUGGCCAGGGGAAUCCCAUGAGACCAUUCAUUUUCACUGAGCCUCAGAUGUCAGCACCUGUACUGGUGUUGCUGUUCCCUGGAUGGUGUCCAUGAAAUAAAGACCUUUCUGCAGCCAAUGCAGUGGCAGUGGGAGUUGCUUGCUCUGGAAAUGUCAGUUGAAGUAUUGGACACAACCUUCAAUGGUACUGGUGUCCUUUUCCUUCCAAACUUCGAAUGAAACAGAGCAAGUGUGAAAUAUUUUGUAGCAGGUGUUGGAGAAAGCAGGAUAAUGUGGCAGUUUUGGAAGAAGUGCUGGAAUGGGAAUACGCUACUGAGCUCUCCAUCUGGAGAGGAAACCCAGAACCACCCUUCCCUCACAAGCUGCUGGAAAAACAGGAGUGUGUGUUUGGGGCUUUGUAGAAGUCAAGUUAUAGCUUGUUUCUAAAUGUCUUCAUAUGUUUUUAUUUGUAUUGCAUACUUUCCUCUUGGCUGCAGUGGAGCUCUUUUAUUUUGCACCAAUAAAUUCUGAAACAUUUUAAGAUGUAAAAGAUUUGCAUGUCUCAGAGAUGCGUAAACUACAUAGCCCCUGUUCUCUCCCCCCCUGGAUUUUUGUUAAGUUCACUGGUAAUUCUUUAUCACUCUGCAUCUUAUGCAAUCAUUUAUAUUAGUGCCAAAUGUGUUUAAAAUGCUGGUCAAAACUACAUGACAUGUCUUUAAGUGACUGAAUUUGAGUUCUGGGGUCACACGCAAGAAAUCUGUGUCCAAACCUUACAUCUGCAGUGCGUAAUGUGCCUGUCCAGAUGGCAGGUAUAUUCCAGUUCUUAAUAAGCUACUUAAUAAGCUCCCGUCUGUCUCCGUAGCAAAUGAUGACAAGCCUUUCUGAUAGUACUUUAGAAGCAGGAGAGCUCAUAUAUAGUCAUACACACAUACAUAAGUAUAUACAUACAUAAGUAUAUAUGAUUUCCCAAUUUUUAAGUAAUAGAAAUUAUAUACAUAUAUAGAAUGCAUGCUUCUACAUACAUGCACAUCUAUGAGGUAUUAAAAUUACAGCCUUUCAGGAGAAAAAUGAUUCUGCAGCAAUGUUACAGAGCAUAACUUUUGUGAAAAUUGUGCCUAAGAGCUGUUCCAUUCACUGCUGUUGCCAGUGGUGAGGAAUGCCAGCAGUUUAACCAUUUGUCUAGAAGGAAAGGUAAUAAACCAUUUCUCAGCAGUAGCAAUCAGAUUGCUUUAGUUGGACUUGGGUCCUGGCAGUUUUUGAUGGACACCAAGCAGAGUGGGAGGGCCUGGGUCUUGAGAACCAGCCAAUGCUCCCCCAGGGCUGGAGCAUCAGCUUCACAUUUUAGAGUUCUGUGAGAUAUCUGGGUGGAGCUGUAAGUAGUUUGAGGUUUGAGGGUGGGAUAAACUGUCCAUGUUGACAUAGCCAUUUCUCAUUAUAACCGUAUUGACAUAAAAAUUACCAAAGUUUAGCUUUGGUAAUUCUGAGCCUGUGUUGCAGUGGCUGUGUAAUGGGAGAAACAAUAGAGAACAAAACUUGUAUACAAUGCAUUUUAAUAGAAUUCUUUAUAUAGUUUGAUUUCUAAAAGAUCUCUCAUUAGCCUAUUGCCUGCAUUUUUGUAGCAGUUACCACAAACAUUGGCAUGAUACCAUGGAAUGGUAAUGGAAAAUGGAAAAUAUUAACAGGGAAAAUGGGUUUUUUAUGUUGACUACACUGCCAAAAUCUGUUUGAAAACCACCUGCAGUCCAAGGAUUUAUUUGUUAGAGUCACUAAAGCUUAACCGGAUAAUCUCUUCACUUGCUUCUCAUGCGCUAAACAAGUGAACAGAACAAACAAUCAAACCCAUAUCAUAACAUAAAUAAUCUACGAUUUUCUGUGAUAAAAUUCCCCUAUGUAAAGACCUGGGAUAUCUGAAAUGGACAGUGACAUACAAGGUUCUCAAGUAAAUUUAGUGUUUCUCUUACCAAUCCUAUCUAUGGAGCCUUCUGAUGAGAAAGUUUUUUGGCUAAAUCUCUCAUCUCAGGAACUUUCAGUGUGAGAUCAUUGCUCUAGUGUGUAUCUCAACUAAUAACUUCUUGCAUGAACUUCAGGUAAAUAAUUCCAUCCUCUCCCAGUUUGAUCAUCUGCAGAUCUGUUAGCUGAUAUACAGAAAGCCUGUUGUCAAAACAUUUGCAAAAUUAAAGAAAAGCAAAAGAAAAGAAGCAGAUUUUUUGCUCCAUUCUUUAUAGAUAGAGUACAUUGGUUGCUGAUAGCUCAUAAAUAUUAGCAUACUGUGAUAAAGCCAAUUUAGGAAGAAGUGCUAAACAGUUACUAUCCUGGUAUUAGCACCAGGAAAUGACAUCAUUUUUUUCUGGAUGCUCUAUUUGCCAUAGUUAAAUCCCUUUUCUCUCCUUGCUCAGGCAAAACUGAGUAUUGAACAUCAUUUUUUUCAUAUGCAGUGACUUAAUUUUCCCCCUUUAAGAGCUCAUGCUCUGAUUAAAAAAUGUGUAUUUAUAAUUUUCCAGCAAAUUAAAUUUAUUAAAACCAGUCCGAUAAUCUUUAUUAUCAAGUUGUAUUUAAUACUUAUUAUGAGGUUAAACCACUAAAAUAUCUGUAGUUCAAUAAAAUAUCUCCAAACUUCAGUCAUAAGAGAAUGAUAUUAAAGCAAACAUGCAGAUUAAUAAUGGGAAUGUUUGGUUUCUAACAGAAAAGACAAAAUCUAUUAGGGUUGGGCUGAAUCUUGAAGUUAUCACCUAUUCUUUGCAAUCACUGUCCCAAAUGUUUAUAUCUGUAAGUAUUGAGUAAAAUGAGUAAAUAACUUGAAGAUUUAGUCUAAUGUUAUCGAAGUUUUUCUGAUUGAUUUCUGUGACUGACAUCUUAUGUAAAUACUCUGAGCUGUUGCAUUGUCUGUAAUUACUGAGAAACAGAUGAAGUUGCGGUUUAGUUAAAAGCAUGCUUCUUGGUUACAAAAUACAAGGAAUAAUUGUAAUUUAUUUCAUUUUUCAUUUUCAUUUUUUUUUAAUGUAAGAGCAAAUGUAGUAAAAUUUAAUUAAAGCGCCUGCAUUUUAGUGCCAAUUGUAAAUAUACUGAUAACAUUCUGACUAUAUAAUAAUUAAUAAGAGAUUUCUAAAUAGAUCGUAUUCUUCUACACUACAAUAUAUCUAAUAAUAAAAAAAUUGCAAUAAUAAACCAAGGGCUACUAGUUUGUCCUACAGAAUACUUGAUGAUUCUAGCAGAAAAAAAUAUGGGGAAACAGGAUGGCAUUUAUCUGCAAAAAUCUUUUGAAUUGAAAAGCACACUUGACUUGUCAUGAAAGAUAACAUAAUGUAAUUUGAUGCAGGUACAAAUUUAUUGGAAUGGGCCAGAAAUCCGACAGAAAAGGCUUUGUUCAUAUCUCAGUAAAGAUUAUACUUCUAGACAUCUAGUACAACUUGUACAAUGAUGGGUUACAUUUUUUUUUUUUUUCACUGAUGAACAUCAGAAAUAUUAAAAUAGUGUUUGAUAGUCUGCCGACAUAUUUGUUGUUUUUCUGGCAUAGUGAAGGAGUGGAAAGAAAAUAAUUUGGGAAAAAAAAAAAAAAAAAGAUUCUUUCUAUUUCACGGAUUGAUGGUUUUAUUCAGUGUAGGAACUGAUGUCGUGUUGUGUGGCCAGGUGACUUUGUGGGCUACCUAACAGCCUGGACCACAGAAAUACUCAGAGCUGGGUCAAGAAGAGCAACACUCACUGAUCUGAAUGUCUUUCCAAAUGUGGGUGUCAGUCCAUCUAUCAUGGGACACCACAUCCAGUCAUAAAAAGCUUCUUGCAGCAGCAGCAGAGGAUUAGAAAAACCUUCGGUUACCCAGAUGAUUUUUUCCUGUAAGUUCAAACACUGCUCAUGGCAUGCUCUGACAGUCUGUCCAUCCCUACUUCUAUGGAUAGAACGGAAAUUGGUCCCUUCUUUGCGGGAAAUAUUCUGUAGUUUUUUCCUCGAUUUGAGAGAGCAGUGAGAAUCAUCCCCCUUGGUGAUAUGCUGUGCCAUGUAGAGCAAAAUACAGCCUCUCUGCAGCCCUUUCUCUUUGGGGUUUCCUUAGCCUUCCUGAACGUUUUUCUUGCUGUUGUGCUACCUGCUGUCUUCAGGUGAAAGUUUCUUCCUCUUAAUAAUGUAUGGUGCCACCUUUCCUAGUCUGUUCUUGUGCCAAAUGAUUUUAUCUUAAGAGCUAAAUACCCAAUGGUUUUGGCGAGCACUGAGUGGACUAAGACGAGUCUGAUUUUUUUUUUUUUUUAAAAACACUCAGGAAACAACUGCUGCCAUAAUCACAAGGGAAUAGCGAUCCCUCUUCAUAAAUUCAAUUUGUUCAUAACCUUUUGACACAGACCAUAAAUAACCUUUAUAUAUCUCACAUACACACACAAGGACACAUACAGCAUGUGACAUAAACAACGUAUAUAAAUAUUUAGAAAAAUACAAAAUAAAUGUAAAGUGUCAUAAGAACUACCCACUUAUUAGCAAGUGGUUAACUGCUUGUUCAAACUGAUACCUGGAAUGCCUGCCAGCUCUGUUUGCUGUGCCACUGUAUUGGCUGAGGUACAAAACCAUAGCAAAGGAAGCACCAACCCAUGAGAAAUGAGACUAUUUCUGCAGAGAUUACACCAGAGAUGAGGGGAAGUUGAGGUUGCAUUCUGGCUCGCAUAAGGGCUAGAAAGAUUUCCUGCUGUGAGAUCUGGAAAAGCGAAACAAAAGGGAGAAAAAAACCCCAAAAAACAUAGAAACUACUUUUAAUUCUAAAAAUUAUUCUUCGAUAUUAUUUAUUAUUUGGACUCAUUUGAUAAUAAUAUUGAAAAAAACCACAAAAGCAUGUGCCAGAAUUGAAAGUGGUAAAUCAAACAAUGUUAUGGAGGGAAUAAAUAUUCCUAAUUCAGUUUUAUUCCUAAAAAAGUCACAUUGCAAUGGAAUUAAAUUAAAAUUAAAUUAAAUUAAAUUAAAAUGUGCCUGGCUUCCUAUGUUUUUUCUAUGUUCUUUCUUGUUCUUUAAAACCUAUAGGAAGAUGUCCCAUCUGAUGAACUUGGUGCUUUAUGUUUUCAGUAAUAUAUAAUGCUGAUAAUUUCUGGGUAAAAAAUCAAUGGAAUGUGCUAUAUAUAAGAAAGUACUGAAAUUUAAUAUUUAUUUUGAUAUUAGCACAACUUCUUGCAGAAGAUCCACAAUAAAAAUAAUUCA